GCGCCCGUAGCUCAACCGGAUAGAGCACCGGCCUUCUAAGCCGGGGGUCGUGAGUUCGAGUCUCGCCGGGCGCGCCA
This 77-nucleotide transfer RNA is filed under the name Candidatus Accumulibacter phosphatis. Its description in RNAcentral is "tRNA-Arg (TCT) (tRNA-Arg-TCT-1-1)". It matches the Rfam family "tRNA". Rfam says of the family: Transfer RNA (tRNA) molecules are approximately 80 nucleotides in length. The record is from RNAcentral. RNAcentral also lists the same sequence under 19 other names. Lineage: Bacteria; Pseudomonadati; Pseudomonadota; Betaproteobacteria.